This 465-nucleotide ribosomal RNA is filed under the name uncultured bacterium. RNAcentral describes it as "partial 16S ribosomal RNA". It matches the Rfam family "Bacterial small subunit ribosomal RNA", at positions 338 to 795 of the family's 1533-position model. The record is from RNAcentral.
CCUACGGGAGGCAGCAGUAGGGAAUCUUCGGCAAUGGGCGCAAGUCUGACGGAGCGACGCCGCGUGAGUGAAGAAGGUCUUCGGAUCGUAAAACUCUGUUGCUGGAGAAGAAAGACUGCUACAGGAACUGGUUGCUCCCUGACGGUACCUAGCCAGAAAGUCACGGCUAACUACGUGCCAGCAGCCGCGGUAAUACGUAGGUGGCAAGCGUUGUCCGGAAUUAUUGGGCGUAAAGGGUGCGCAGGCGGUCCUGCAAGUCUGGAGUGAAACGCAUGGGCUCAACUCAUGCAUGGCUUUGGAAACUGGAGGACUGGAGAGCAGGAGAGGGCGGUGGAACUCCAUGUGUAGCGGUAAAAUGCGGAGAUAUAUGGAAGAACACCAGUGGCGAAGGCGGCCGCCUGGCCUGUUGCUGACGCUGAGGCACGAAAGCGUGGGGAGCAAAUAGGAUUAGAUACCCUUGUAGUC